CCAAAAAUGGUAAUCCCUUUAAAGACCUUAAAUUGUUGUGUAUCCUUUACGUAAUGUACUUUACCAUGGUUCUUUUAGGUAUACCAGAUAAAAACCUUUAUAAGGCAAGAAAUUGCGCAUAUGAUAACAUUUUACUUAUGACUAAUUAAGUGCCAGCAGUCGCGGUCAUACUUUUAUAGGUGUAAAGAUCUACAGAAAUAUUAAUUAUUAAUGAUAAUUAAUAGUGAAAUAUAAAUUAUUAGUAAACUGCCUUUUUAUUUAUUUAAAAAUUGACCACAAACAGGGAUUAGAUACCCCUUUAUGCAAUUCCCAUAUAAAUUUCUGAGCAUUAAAACCAACAGGUCCAAACUCAACCAACAUGGCGGUAGUUUAAAUAUUUAGGGGAACUUACGUAAUAAUUGAUAACCACCAAGAAAAUUUACAUAAAGUAAUAUUUUGUAUACCGUCGUCGUCAGAUAAACUAGAAUAUAUUAUCGUUAGCUUUAAUAAAAGACAGAUCAAGGUGCAGACAACCUUUAUGGUAACGCGAGUUACAAUAAAAACUUUUUCCAUUAUGUUCAUGAAAAAAACCUACAUGCUGGACUUAAAAGUAAUUUAUAUUAAGAAUAAUAAAUGAAUACUCUGUAAACUGUGC
Molecule: ribosomal RNA, 634 nt
Filed under: Kosicia intermedia
Lineage: Eukaryota; Metazoa; Mollusca; Gastropoda; Stylommatophora; Helicidae
Description: partial 12S small subunit ribosomal RNA
Source: RNAcentral